Lutra lutra (Eurasian river otter) is the source of this 1627-nucleotide long non-coding RNA. RefSeq lists it as uncharacterized. The record is from RefSeq and is a predicted model, not a curated record. NCBI's taxonomy places the organism in Eukaryota, Metazoa, Chordata, Mammalia, Carnivora, Mustelidae. The transcript has 4 exons.
UUAAGAGACUUUUAUGGUUUGUCCCUCUCUGGUUUCAUCUUGUUUCAUUUUUCCUCUAAAGUUGAAUCAGAUCCUUCCACUGAAGUAGUCUGGGUGGGAGGGAGUCGAUUAGACCUCUCUGGAAGCUCCAUGAGCAGCCCGGCACGGCUCUAGUUGGAUACUCCAGUUUGGCAGGCCCAGGCCUGAGCGUCCCGUCUUCUCCUCUCGCUUUCUACCUGCCAGUGCCUGGGCAGCAGUGGGGAACGGGCGGCUGUGAGUCCCGGUGCGAUCCCGGCAGUGCCCUUGCCCUUUGGGUCGCUUGCUGUGCUGGUGACAUGUUUUGUUCUUCACACAGAUUCCCCAGAAUAGAAGUGGUAGAAUGGCUAGGAUGGAAACUGCAGGAAGACGACGUCAGGUCACUAGAGAGAAUGCCCCAAAGCGGAAGCUGCUGCACCUGCAUUCCCGGCCUCCCUGAGGGGACUCCAGAUGACCACACUGUACACUUCCCAGGGGUGUCGACGGCCAUGAGGCCUGCCCUGCCCAGUGGUAUUAUUUGCCGGGCCACCCUGUCUUGCCAGGUAGUCGUGCUGUGUUGUGACUGCAGCAAAAACCUGGUGUGUCUCAGAUGUGGUGGGCAGCGUGGAUGAGCCACACCGGGGUCCAACGCCUCCCACCCCCGAGCACUGCCCCAGCAGAGACGAUCUUCUUUGCAACUGUUUCCACCCCUCACGUUGCAGAUACCUGUGCAUCCACACGGGCUUAUCAUCAGCAUGAAUAAGUCCUGCUAGAUGAGAAAAUGACUUGUGAGCAGGUGGAUAAUGAAAGUAACUGACCCUAAAUGUGGACUGCGAACAUCAGCAUACUAGUGAUGCAAGAAAUCACUGAAAACACUGUGGGAGAAGAAUGGAAACAUUUUCUAGAAAACCCAGUAAUGACCAGAAUAGAUCUAUUGCGUUUUUCGCAUGCAUUAGGUAACUAUGCAGAAUUGAGCUUCAGCCCCACCGGCUCCACCAGAAUUGCUCUCUCCGCGCUCACCAGUACCCUCCACAUCACCCAUGCCAGAAGCAUUUCGGAGUCCUCAUCUUGGCUGGCACACUCCUCAGGGGACCAUCUGAGAAUCCUUCUCUUGUACAUGAAGAAAACCCAGCUCAAAUUGUAGUAAACGAAGGAGAUUGCAUUUCUGCAGAACGUCAGAAAAUAGAAAUCCUGUUUUUCACUUGUGCCCAAUUCUUUCUACAAAAAAGUAAACAUGAAGGACUUGUUACAGAGCUCUUCUAACUGCAAGAGUGCUUGCAGAUACAGGAGGAAGCACUGAAUUAUCUGAUUAGCAUGACUCUGAUGGAGGAUAAGGUGGGAGCUACUCAAGGAAGGGGGAGAAGUCCUCAUGAGGAGAUAAUACCCCAGUGCAAACCUGAAGGGUGAUGUAUUCAUUUCCUAGAACUGCUGUAACAAAGUACCACUGACAAGGGGGCUUCACCAAAAGAAAUUUAUUGUCUCACAGUCUCUGGAUGCUACAAGUCCAAAAUCAAGGUGUCAGCAGGAUUGGUUCCUUCUGAGGACAUUGAAGUAUCUGUCCAAGCUUCUCUCUUCGCUUUGCCGAUGGCCAUCUUUACUGUAUGUCUCUCCAUAUUAUCUUCCCUCUAUGCAC